This 77-nucleotide transfer RNA is filed under the name Candidatus Solibacter usitatus. Its description in RNAcentral is "tRNA-Val". It matches the Rfam family "tRNA". From Rfam's summary of the family: Transfer RNA (tRNA) molecules are approximately 80 nucleotides in length. Their secondary structure includes four short double-helical elements and three loops (D, anti-codon, and T loops). RNAcentral also lists the same sequence under 8 other names. The record is from RNAcentral. Lineage: Bacteria; Pseudomonadati; Acidobacteriota; Terriglobia; Bryobacterales; Solibacteraceae.
GGGCGCGUAGCUCAGUUGGUUAGAGCGCCUGCUUCACACGCAGGAGGUCGCAGGUUCGAGUCCUGCCGCGCCCACCA